Orcinus orca (killer whale) is the source of this 3020-nucleotide long non-coding RNA. RefSeq lists it as uncharacterized. The transcript is spliced from 3 exons. The record is from RefSeq and is a predicted model, not a curated record. NCBI's taxonomy places the organism in Eukaryota, Metazoa, Chordata, Mammalia, Artiodactyla, Delphinidae.
CAAACCAGCAAGGUAAAAGAAGAGAGGCCAGGUCAUCUGGUAAACGUUGGCCUGUAACACAGUUCAUGGAAGGCUGCUUGGUGCCCAUUCAUCCCCAAGACACCCACACGUGAGAAUUCACCAGUACAAAGAUGUUUAAGACUUAUUUCAGAAGGAAUCCAGAUGAUGAGUCCAUUUGCAGUUUAGAAAAACUGAUUUAUAGCAUUACGGUGGAGAUGAUCUCUACUAAAGCCUGGCACGCUGGAGGAAGAGCAAUGAGACCAGGGUCUCUGCAGCAGAGCAGGACAAGGAAGGUGAGAUGCUGAGGGAUAAUGCAAUAAUAAUCGCCUUGAGUCAGUAAGCUAUGGCUGUAUAAGAAACGAUUCAAAAAUGCAAUGGCUUGAAACAAUAGCUUUGGUUCUUAAGGACCCGCGGGUCAUCUAGGGGUUUGCUGACCCAAGCUGGGCUGGGCCCCGUUCAAGCUGCAGGGUCUGACUGUGAUGGGCAUCUCCCUCAGGUCUGCUCCAUGAUGCUGUUCUGCACCUCAGGUAAGAGUGUACCAAUGAGCCUGAGGAAACUCUUCUUGAUGUGGCAGCAAAGGCCAGAAAGAAAGCCCACUGACAGGUGCAUUUCAAGCUCGUGCUUCCUUUCUUGGAGGGCACACAAUGGAGCUCAAAGUCAAGGGGCAGGGAAGUAGACUUUGCCCAUCAGAACACCAUGGCGAAAGUGUGUACACAGAAGUGAUGACAAGGCCAAUGAUUUCAUCUACUGUAUCACUUGGCUUGGGCUACGAAAGGAACAGAGAAGAGGCGGGGAGUGGUCAAGUUGUGCAUAAAUUGUGCACAUAAAGCUCACAGGAUUUGUAAGUAUAUCAGACAUGAGGUCAGAGAGACAAGGAGACCUUGAGGAUGACAUUCCUUAUCCACGUGCCCAGAAAUGUCUUUUUCUAGAAUUUUACUUUAGAUUGAUAUUUAGCUCACUUGCUCUAUUUCUAGUAUUUUGGUACUUCUCUUGACUUCCACAAUCUCCUUAAAGACAUCUCAGUUUCAUAUUGUUUUAUUACUAGGAGACAUAACCGAUCUGAAUCAGGUGAGGUGAUGUGUGUAUAUAUUCAGCAGCGCCGGCAUUCUCCUGCUGCUGCCCCCUCCACAAUAAGGCUGCAGUUUCUCCCCAGCAGUGUCCAAACUACCCCUUCAGUCCACCAAUGACUCCUCUCAAAAUGCAAAGACUAAGUACAGAAGCCUUUGUUUCUCCCUGAUUAGUCAUCAGCAUUAAACAUCGGGUCUAAUGGUGCGUCUGUCCAUUCCUUCUUCCAUUUUUUUUUCUCCAAACAUUUCUAAGGUCGAACUAUAUUCUGAGUACAGUCUUUAAGACAGUAGGGAAUGUUCAGAGGAUUUUCAUCAUACUUGGUUAACAUUUUUAAAAGUUUUGGCACUUAAAGUCAUAGGCUUUAGUUAUUUGGAAUAUUUAUCUAUAAUAAAUAGUCCAUUCCCCAGCGUUGGUAAAUAAAUGAGGCAUUGCUCCAUUGCGCUUUUGUUGAUUUAUGCAUCGACACGGGGAGUGUGCUCCAUUUAGCAAUGCAAAGAGGGUACACAUUCAGUUUGUUCUGUUGCUAUGUGUACUGUUUAGUCCCAGGAUACCUUGAACUGGAAAGAAGCCCUGUUGAGUGACAGGGUUACAUAAUUCUACCUUCUUGGUAAACUGUUUUGGGCCUCAGCGCCCCCAGCUCAGAUAUCUGUCUAUCAGGAGACAUGUGGGUCUUGAAUUGUUCAUUCUGGUUUGACCCUAAGCCAAAAACUUUUGCAGAAGCCUGAGUCCUGGGCCUCCUUCCCAAGCAACCACCAGUGUCAUAGAAGUAACCAGUUCCUGCCUGUUACUGCAGCUCCUGUUGACAGGAAAUGCCUUUUCAAAAGAAAGGCAAUGAAAAACGGUUCCCUUGCAGGUGGAGUUUUCUGGCUCAUGUAAGGAUUAGAAAUGAAAUUAGCCAUUGGAAAUUUCAUUCAGAUCAGUCCAAACAUUGCAAAGUACAACAAACGCAGACCUUUCCUCAUUGGGUAAUCAAGUUCAAUUUCUCUCCAUGUCUUUUCUCCCAAGCAGACAGCUGUGAAACCCUUAUUAACUGUUUUUCAUGGACCCAGUUGCUGCUAAAGUCUACAGAGAUAGAACAUUCCAGAAUGAGCCCUGACCUUGAAGGGCUUGGUGAUCUAGUCUGGAAUACCAGAGCCACCCACAGAAACUGCUCCGUGAAUUAGGCAGCCCAUGAUCCAGCAGCCAGCCAUGUGGGUCAGACAAUAAGGAGUUCAGAGCCAACAACAACGGCUAAGUGCAUUGUGGAACCAACUUCAGGAGAAAUGGGAACGUGACAAAAUAGUAUAAAUAAGAUGGCUGAUUUGGACAUUUCAACCUCUACUGUUUCCUUUCUUCCAACUCCAGUUUCCCUGCAACAGAUCAAAACCUCUUUGUAGUAGUAAUCACUUGAAAAUAAAUUUAAACCACUUUAACACAAUAUUCUUAUUUUGGAUGGACCUACCGUCCGUCCAUCACCCUGGCCACUCCUGCAAAAGGACGCAUAAUCCAUCACAGAGCUUUCUGCACACUGCUCCCCUGUUCAAACACAAAUGGCUUCCUACGGCCAACGUCAGUCAGCCUUUCUUGGAGUUCCAUAGUCUCCCCAGCAGGGUCCUGCCUCACCCACCCAUAUGUGAGUUACAGCACAAGGGCUUAUCCUUGAGAGCAUGGUCAAUAACGUCUCCCAUUUUCCACCGUCCUGAAUCUGACACCUGUGACCUCACACGGGACCACGGUAUUUUACAGAGUCAACAAUAUAUCUGAUUUGACUGUUUCCCAUGUGUAAGUCUUAUCUUUCCAGUUGGAUAACAUUUUCUUCCAGUACAAGCUGAUGCAAUAUUAUUGGAAAAGUUUUUGAGUUUUUCCUCAACCUAUAGCACAUAAUAAAUAUUUAAUAAACCACUCAUUGAUUGGUUUUAAUUUCUGUGGAACUAGAGGAAGGGCCAGGACUAGGAGGGAGCAAGUGAGGUGCC